Molecule: ribosomal RNA, 495 nt
Filed under: uncultured bacterium
Lineage: Bacteria
Description: partial 16S ribosomal RNA
Rfam family: Bacterial small subunit ribosomal RNA
Source: RNAcentral
GAUGAACGCUGGCGGCGUGCCUAAUACAUGCAAGUAGAACGCUGAAGGAGGAGCUUGCUCUUCUGGAUGAGUUGCGAACGGGUGAGUAACGCGUAGGUAACCUGCCUGGUAGCGGGGGAUAACUAUUGGAAACGAUAGCUAAUACCGCAUGACAACAGUUAUUGCAUGAUAACUGUUUAAAAGGGGCAACUGCUCCACUACCAGAUGGAACUGCGUUUUAUUAGCUAGUUGGGGAGGUAACGGCUCACCAAGGCGACGAUACAUAGCCGACCUGAGAGGGGGAUCGGCCACGCUGGGACUGAGACACGGCCCAGGCUCCUACGGGUGGCAGCAGUAGGGGAUCUUCGGCAAUGGACGGAAGUCUGACCGAGCAACGCCGCGUGAGUGAAGAAGGUUUUCGGAUCGUAAAGCUCUGUUGUAAGAGAAGAACGAGUGUGGGAGUGGAAAGUUCACUCUGUGACGGUAUCUUACCAGAAAGGGACGGCUAACUACGUG